GCCGGGCAUGGUGGCGCACACCUGUAAUUCCAGUGGCUCAGGAGGCUGAGACAGGAGAAUCGCGAGUUCAAAGCCAGCCUCAGCAAAAGCAAGGCACUAAGCAACUCAGUGAGACCCUGUCUCCA
Molecule: small RNA, 125 nt
Filed under: Marmota monax (woodchuck)
Lineage: Eukaryota; Metazoa; Chordata; Mammalia; Rodentia; Sciuridae
Source: RNAcentral